AAAUGACAAACGAAGAAAGCGUCCUCGAAUGUUAUUUUUUCCGGUUGUGCGCGCUCUUCCUCCUCCUCCUCCUCCUCCUCCGUGCUCAUGCGCAGCAGGCCGAGCUGUAAAUCCCCCUCGUCUCUGUUUAUGCAGGGCCUGACCGCGUCCACCGACACUCGCUGAUAUUUUUCUGCUCAAAAACCCCGGGCCGAGGGAAUGUGCUGAUUGUCAGGCUUUUUCGGAGCCGUUCUCACAUUGCAACCCCAUCUGAACUCCUCCUGCUGUUUGGAUGCCCUCGUCUCCAAGGUGUCCAGAUGAACGUAAUCCCGCUCCCUCAGAUGUGUGGCGUCGGAGGUGUUACCGCUGAAAGCUGAGGAACGGGCCGUCAUGCAAACGUGGCACCCUCCUCUCCUCCCCUUUACUGGCAGCGGCAGACCGCCGGGGCCCCGGGGCCACCGGCUCGGGGAGAUUACGCUGACUCCUGCUGGUCAGAGAAGGCCGGCCGCUGCCCGCUCCAGAUGUCCACCUCCACAGCAGUCUGAGGCUGGACUCAAGGAGAAAGAAAGCUAAAAACAGCAGAGAAAUCUGAUCCUAGGUCUAGAAGACGUGGAAAGCAGGGGAAAGAUGAGAGAAACAAAAGAGAUGGAUGAGAAAUGAAUCAUACAAUUAGCUUUCUGUCAGUCAAAAUGGGGAUUUUUUUUUAUUAUUUAAAGUAUUUAUUUACUGUGUUUUGGGGUUUAAUUCUUAGAUAAUAAUAAGAUUAUUCUUGACUUAUUUUCGACAUUUAUUUAAUGAUUUUACAGGGUUUGUAUAUAUUUCAUUUUUUUAUAUUUUCAGAAGUUGGGGUAAUGUCUGUAAAAUUUAAAUUUGUUAAUAAAUUACGAAAUUGAUUUAUCGGCAUUAAACCUAUCCACAUAUACAUCUAGUGAGUAUAUAGCUUACUAUAUAUAACUUAAAUACUGUAAAGUGUGUGUGUGUGUGUGUGUGUGUGUGUGUGUGUGUGUGUGUGUGUGUGUGUGUGUGUGUGUUAAAAACACUGCACUCUUUCUUUAAGAAUCCAAUCCAGGCCAAGACAGUAAACAAGUGGCAUGAGUUUGGGGAGGAACUUCCUUUUUUCUGACCAAUGGUUGACAAGGGGUGUGUUCAGAAAAACAUGUCUGAAAACAAUCAUUUAUAACGAAAUUGCAAGCAUUUUUUUUUACAUUUCCUGGCUAAUGCUAAGAUAAAUUUGAAUUUAAUAUAUAUUAUACUUAAUAUUUAUAAUAAAUAUAUUAAUAAAAAUAUUUGUAUUAUUAUACACUGUACAAAAAAGUCGUUUCAACCUGAAAUGACUUGUUCCUCGCUGCCUAAAAUUUUUAGUUUAGUCGACUAAAAUAUAUUAGUUGUCACUUAAAUUAACUUUAAGCACCAAAACAUUUUAAGUUGACUCAACAAAAAAAUAGGAAUUGGGGGUAACAAGUUAUUUCAAGUUGAAACUACUUUUUAAGGCGUAUUUUCAUAUUAUUGACAGUCAGGAAAGUUACAAACACGUUUUUGAAAUAAAAUAACAUUUUGUG
Puntigrus tetrazona (Sumatra barb) is the source of this 1538-nucleotide long non-coding RNA. RefSeq lists it as uncharacterized. Lineage: Eukaryota; Metazoa; Chordata; Actinopteri; Cypriniformes; Cyprinidae. The transcript has 2 exons. The record is from RefSeq and is a predicted model, not a curated record.